RNAcentral lists this ribosomal RNA (258 nucleotides) under uncultured bacterium. Its description in RNAcentral is "partial 16S ribosomal RNA". It matches the Rfam family "Bacterial small subunit ribosomal RNA", at positions 96 to 354 of the family's 1533-position model. The record is from RNAcentral.
UGGCGGACGGGUGAGUAACGCGUGGAAAACCUGCCGUAUACUGGGGGAUAACACUUAGAAAUAGGUGCUAAUACCGCAUAAGCGCACAGCUUCGCACGAAGCGGUGUGAAAAACUCUGGUGGUAUAUGAUGGUUCCGCGUCUGAUUAGCUAGUUGGUGGGGUAAUGGCCUACCAAGGCAACGAUCAGUAGCCGGCCUGAGAGGGUGAACGGCCACAUUGGGACUGAGACACGGCCCAAACUCCUACGGAAGGCAGCAG